CUGGCUCAGAACGAACGCUGGCGGCAGGCUUAACACAUGCAAGUCGAGCGCCCCCGCAAGGGGAGCGGCAGACGGGUGAGUAACGCGUGGGAAUCUACCCAUCCCUACGGAACAACUCCGGGAAACUGGAGCUAAUACCGUAUACGCCCUUCGGGGAAGAUUAUCGGGGAGUGGAUGAGCCCGCGUUGGAUUAGCUAGUUGGUGGGGUAAGUGGCCUACCAAGGCGACGAUCCAUAGCUGGUCUGAGAGGAUGAUCAGCCACACUGGGACUGAGACACGGCCCCAGACUCCUACGGGAGGCAGCAGUGGGGAAUAUUGGACAAUGGGCGAAAGCCUGAUCCAGCCAUGCCGCGUGAGUGAUGAAGGCCCCUAGGGUUGUAAAAGCUCUUCAACGGUGAAGAUAAUGACGGUAACCGUAGAAGAAGCCCCGGCGUAACUUCGUGCCAGCAGCCGCGGUAAUACGAAGGGGCUAGCGUUGUUCGGAAUUACUGGG
This 493-nucleotide ribosomal RNA is filed under the name uncultured bacterium. Its description in RNAcentral is "bacterial SSU rRNA". It matches the Rfam family "Bacterial small subunit ribosomal RNA", at positions 19 to 558 of the family's 1533-position model. The record is from RNAcentral.